GCCAGAGAGCAGUGAUUGGUCAGACCAUAGAUAAUAUAGAAGACAGCGCGCUAGCGUAUCUAGGCUUCACUAUAUAUCUAUGGUCGGCACGUCUGGUAGCAUCUGUGGCUGCUGUUGACCUUGUUUUUGGAGUAAAACACGGUGGAAGCUGAAUUAGUGAGAAUGACUCCUGCUCCUGUCAUCUCUAAGCUCCUCACACAUCUUUACCUGCACAUGAGGAAAAUCACUCCUGUAGAAUGCAGAUGUUCAGAGGGAGAUGAUGCCACAUCUGGUCCAGCUGAUGGAAGGUCUUGAAGUUCUCUGACUGGCCUCGACUGAAGAUGGUCGUCUCACUGGAUUUAAGGUUCAGAUGCUCAGUAACAAACUCCACCAAUGAACCAACAGGGAACCUUUAGGUUUAUUAAAUGUUGCUAUGAAGGUAUCGCUGUUUUUCUUUGUGAAUGCAAUGUGCUCCAACUGAAACUUGAAUUAGAACUUAGAAGUAAAUCCUUCCAUCUGAAAGGAUUUAGUUGCAUUAAUAACCUCAUAACAUUCAAAUUUUUAUUCCAGUCUUGGUUGAAAAUAGAAUCUCUGUAUUGAUUCAGGUAAAAACUGAACUUCAAAGCAUGUUGGAGCAAAACAACCAGAUGAAAACUGUGAUGGUGUUGGAUUGUCAGACCGUAAUGUUGCAGCUCAAAGCAGCUUUUCUAUCUCAGUUCAUUCUGACAUUCAGCUAUGAAUCAACACAGCAGAUGGUGAUCCAUGCUGUGGAAGUCUCACAUCUCCUGAUUUAAUGGAGCUGCUUUGCACUUUUUACACUGUUUAUUCACCAACACUUUAUUUAAUAAAAGUCCCAUCUAGUUUUUAUGAGGAAUGUGAUGUUUUAAUCUCUCUGUGAAUAACUGCAGUCUAAUGCAACAGCUGGAGUUGUAACAUCUGUCCUGAUAUUGAUCAUGAAGUAUUGAUCAGAAUACUUAUGGUCAGCAGUCAUCCCUGAAGUUUUACAUUAAAAUCUUUACUUGUGUUGUGAACUUUGGUAAGAAGCAGAAACGUUAGCGUUGCCAUGGAUACAUGAGUGUUAAAUUCUGUCCAUGUUUCCAUUUUGGGAAAUGCAGUCCAGUUCCAGAAUGUGGAGGAAUUUAGUCUCACAAUCACAGACAAUAAAUAUUAUCUGAAAGUCGGGUUAUUGUUGUUUAUCAGCACAAUACAAAAAGAUUAAUGUUAGAAAUAUUCCAGUUAAGACUCUAGAAUAUCAUGAUUUAUGUAAAUUUACCUCAAUAAUACGAAUGUUCAGGUUAAGAUUGUACAGUGAUAUUUAUUAUGUAAGUUUAGCUGAUUAAAGUUUAUGACUCUGCACUACAAUAUUAUUUAAAUUGACAUCAUUAUUAUAAUAUUUAGGGUUAGACCCUACAGUAUUGAGAUUAAGAAAUCAAAUAUUCUAUAAAAUAUAAAUACACUGAACUCAUUUGGAUAUAUUUAAGUGAGACUCUACAAUAUUAUUUGACACAAAUCUAUCUAAAUCAAAUUUUAAUAAUUUUCACACCAAACAUUUACUGGACUGAUUUAAAUAUUAAAAUCACUCCUUUCUAAUCCUCUGCUGUGCAUUCAAACCUGAGGCCUUAAGUAGAAACACACAAGUAUCUGUUUGAAGGAACGUCUGAAGAGUCCUGGUUCCAGAACAUGAUGAUAGAAUUAUAGACAAACUUCAACAAAAGCUGUCUGAGAGUUUACAGGUUUUUAUGUUGGAUUUCUUCAGUAAUUUAAUGAGCGUUAUCAGCAAUAAUCAAGUGUUCAUUUGAUGAACUUGAUUUCCUAAAACAUCCAGAAUUGGAGCUCAUGUCUUUGGCAGCUGUAAAGUUUCUGCUCCUUCAAAGUUCACAACACAAUGAAUGAAUUCCUAAAACACUCUCAAUGCUGGAGAGCGUUUGUGAUGCUGAAGCAGUGAUCAGUUUUUCUGUUUCUUCUCUGGAGAUGCACAAUGAGGGAUGUCUGCAGCAACUGAGAAAGAGUCUCACCACAUCCUGACAUGAGGAAAAAGACUUUAUUGAAGACUACAAUGAGAAAAAGUAUCAGACAGCAGACGGCUGCAUUCAAGGUGAGCUCUGAACAUUUGAUCUGGAACAGGAAUUCAAUAACGGCAGCAUGAGCUUCAUUUCAGUCUGUAGCUGCUGAAUUCAUGGAUGAAUCAUCUGGCACUAGAGAAGAAGACCAUCAAACAUCCACGUCAGCUGAUGGAGGUCCAAGAGUCUCACCAAACAACCAACCUACAGAGUGAAGACCUCGAAUCUGAUUGGACGGCCUCCUAUUCAGCCACAUGUGAACAAAUGCCUCUAAGUUGAUUUGUUUUCUAAAAUAAAUCUAGUUUGAGUCCUAAUCUAUGCCUGUGUGUUUGCUUCUUUACACUGCUGUUAACAGUUUAGGCUGUUAGAUUGUUCCAGAUAAGACAAGUACAAGAUUCUUCAGAGCCGUUCUACCACGAGCCUGACAGGAAGAACUCCAACAGCUACUGAAUGUUCCUGUGGUCCCCUCAAGGCUACAGGAGGAGCCCUACGAGGACGAGCUGGUCCACCUGAUGGUGGCCUACAUGAGAGCUUUAAUUAUUCUUCAUCUACUUCCUGAAAAGUUUG
Molecule: long non-coding RNA, 2606 nt
Organism: Amphiprion ocellaris (clown anemonefish)
Lineage: Eukaryota; Metazoa; Chordata; Actinopteri; Pomacentridae
Source: Ensembl